Molecule: long non-coding RNA, 4351 nt
Organism: Leucoraja erinaceus (little skate)
Lineage: Eukaryota; Metazoa; Chordata; Chondrichthyes; Rajiformes; Rajidae
Exons: 3
Source: RefSeq, a predicted model, not a curated record
GAAGAAGGGUCUCGACCCGAAACGCCAUCCAUUCCUUCUCUCCAGAGAUGCUGCCUGUCCGGCUGAGUUGCACCACGUUCUGUGCCUAAAUUCAGUUUAAACCAGCAUCUGCAGUUCCUUACUACAGAGAACAAUGAAGGGGUUCCAGAACCAGUGCACUAGCUGGAGUCAGAUAAAGAGGCACGCGUAAUCUUCGCGAUGAAGAUGAUUUUCCUCCCGAUGAAUCAGCUGAAGUUUACUAAAUCAUGGACAACAUUUGAGGACAGCCCAUUCCAUCUCUCCGCCUGAACUAUACGCUGUUCACCCCGAUGUGAUGUAACGCUACAUUCUACACACUUGCAACACAAUACUCUUCGUCUGUUUGUUGUAGGAUGCAACUGCAGAUGCUGGUUUAACCCGAAGAUAGUACAAAAAGCUGGAGAAACUCAGCGGGUCAGAGAGCACAUCUGGAACAAAAAUGAAUAGGUGUCUGAAGAACGGUCUCGAUCCGUAACGUUACAUGUUCCUUCUCUCCAGGGAUGAUGUCUGUCCCGCUGAGUUACAACAACACGUUGUGUCUAUCUUCUGUUUAUUGUGGCACUAUAUGCCGCAUUGUUUCUCUUUUUGCAUUUCCUGAUACACUCAUGUAUGGUAUAAUUUACUUCGAUGCCACGGGAAACAAAUAUUGCCAAUCAUUAACUAAUUACACCGCGGCGUGAGAUAUAGAAUGUUCCUUGGUUGGUGUAUGGUGUUGAAUACUAAAAUAAAAAAAAUAAUUUAUCAUAUUAUGCAUUACUCACAUAUUCUGUAAAUGUUCUCAAUACAUGGUAAACUCAUGCAUUGGGUAUUAUUUGGACUAAGGUUGUUUACGAUCUUAUGUUAAAUUUAAGCUACUCGUAUAUAAGCCUCAUUCGUUAAAAUCCUAUCAUUAUGCGCCCAUUGUCUCAUAAUACAAUUCUAAAACGGUCCACAACUCCGCCUUUGGGGUGGACAGAUACUUGGUGAAUCGCUGGAAUUUGCAGCGAAUGCUAAAAGCAGAGAGUUACAUUUUAGAAAUAUAAUAAAUGUCGGGAAACGUGCAUUUUCUAGAUCAUGUUAAGUAUGAAUAACUUAUUUAAAAAAAGCAAAUUAAAAGUGUCGGUCUUGUUAUUUUCAAUGUCUAUAUAAUUAAUAAUAAUAGAAGACAAUGUUAAAAUUAUUACGUGUGCUUAAUUAUUGAAUUAUUUAUAAUGUAGAUAUACAACAUUCCGCCAUAAUUCAAUAUUACUGCUUGAUUGUUUUUUUUAAUUUCUACAACAUUUUUGUUUACUUUCGCCGACUGUUUCAAAGGAAGAUUUUUGAUUAAAGCAACUCGGCACCUGCUAUAACGCCAGAUUUGGACGCCUUCCGUUUCAUCCAAUCGGCUAAUUUCUUCAUAAAGCAUGACCAAGUUCAAAAUAAAUUGCUAGAAGCUAGUGCACCAGAAGACCAGCAAGCGAGCCGUACGAGUAACUUAGCAAAGAAUGUUGGCAUAUGGUCUUCAGUUCCGUUCCUGUGAAGCGCGCUGGAAUGUUUUAAUACAUUAUAUGCGCGAUACAAAUGAAGGAACUGCAGAUGCUGGUUUAAACUGUAGAUAGACACAAAAGCUCGAGGAACUCAGCGGGACAUGCAGCAUCUCUGGAGAGAAGGAAUGGGUGACGUUUCGGGUCGAGACCCUUCUUCAGUCUGAAGAGUUACUCCAGCUUUUUGUGUCUUAAAGCUAUUUGUCUGUAUUUCGAGUUUGUAGAUGGAUGCUACUAAUGCCAAAAUUAAGACAAUACAUUUCCUGUUCUACAAAACCAAAUGUGUACAGUGUAUAGGGUUGACAGUGUAGUAAUUCGCUACAAUAUCGAGCUGCCACACUAUGUGGGUGGGUAGUCAAUGUGCCCGUGACCGCAUGGGCAUACCUGCACACAUGUGUUUGCAAUUGGAAAUGACCCGCGCUGGGUAGUUCUACCGUAUUGCAGAGAAAACCAUGGCUCAAGGGCAACAGCAUGGGACAAUUAGUCAAUGUAACUUCCAUUUGCACAUUCUAACGGCGCUUGAUUUUCCGGAAAGUUGUUAAAUAUCUCCGAGUGCCACAGUGCACUAAAUAACGCAAGCGUAUCUGCAGUUUUUGAAAGAAAUAGUGCGCAGACACUCCGACAAUUAUAUUUCCCGAAUAAAUUUCAUAUCUGCCCACGGUUUAAUCACGGCACGGGGAAGAUCUUUUUCGGUACAAUUGUAUUUCUAUCCAAUCGCAACGUAAAUGGUCCCGCUUCAUGCUUUACAGGAAUGCAGAAACUGUACCAGUCCGUUGUUACCCGUUCAAUUUCCCCCAACCCGCUCGAUAGAAAGUGUGUAGGAAAGAACUGCAGAUGUUGGUUUAAAUCGAAGGUAGACACAAAAUGUUGGAGUAACUCGGCGGGACAGGCAGCAUCUCUGGAGAGAAGGAAUGGGAGGCGUUUCAGGUCGAGACCCUUCUCGGUUACUCCAGCAUUUUGUGUCUACCGCUCGAUAUAAAUGCACAACUAACUGAUGGCGGGAUACUCAUGCCACAUGUGGAGGGAAAUAUAUAAAAGCGGCAAAAGUCUCAACGCAUAACAAUGACUUGUUUCUUCUUUAUCCCACUUUCUCAUCCGCUCCCCACACAUUAGCGGCAAUUUUGCAGAGGCAAAUGAACCUACACACAAGCGCGUCUUUGCGAUGUGGGAGUAAACUGGAGCACCCGGGGGAAACCCACGCGAUCACAUGGAGAACGUGCAAACUCCAUACAGACAGCACAUGAGGUCAGGAUCGAACCUGGGUCUCUGGCGCAAUGACAUUGUCAUUGUCAUUACCUCGUCAAUGCCUAGUAGUUAGUCCCUGCCUCCAUAUUGUACAGGAGAGCAAGAGCAGCCACUGCCUGGUCGAAUGCGCUGGCUAUGAGAUGUUGGUCCUCAAAUAGUGUCAUUCAGAUUGCCAAAGGCUGUUGCAAUCACAGUGAAGGUAAUAGUGAAAGCUUCUAUGUAAGGCUUCAUUGAGGGAUGACUCUCGAGAGAUGAGGAGAGGUCCACGUCCUACAGAAUCUUGUCAUGGACAUUUACUAUGCAAUGUAGUCCGCUGUGCUAGACUGGGAGAGGAUCUUUGUUUCGCAGACGUAACAUUGAAGAAGAUGCCUAAGUGUAUGUUUUGGUGAAUAUUGCGACAUUGACCUGAAACUCCUCCAAAUGUGCACACACGCACGUGUUGCCCGCAGACUGCAGCUUCGUGGCAGAGGUUGUGGUGAGUGGUUUCUGGAGUGGAGAUAAUGUAGGUUUAAAUUACCAUUUGGCUUGUGCAAUAGCUGUGUUCCAGCAGAACGCUUGUUCGAGGUGAGUUGGUGCAAGAGCGAUUGAGAGUGAUGAUACAGUCUUGUUUGGCAUUGAACAAUGGUGUAGCUGGUAGAUCUGAUGCCUCACACAAAGGGUGGUGCGUGUAUAGACCGAGCUGCCAAGGGAGGCUGGGACCAUCCCAACGUUUAAUAAACAGUUAGGUACAUGAAUGACGGGUUUGGAGGGAUACGGGCCAAACGCGGGCAGGUGCAUCUAGUGUAGCUGGUGUUGGCUGGUGUAGGCAAGUUGGGCUGAGUGGCCUGUUUCCACGCUGUAUCACUCUGUGACUAUGACAGCUCUGCAAUCGCACGUUCAAUACUGACCACUGGUGCUGCCUUUGUGGAGUUUACAUGUUUUCCAUGUGACUGCGUAGAUUUAUGAGUACUCCAGUUUUCUCUCGCAUCACAAAAACGUGCGGGUUACUUGAUAACUUGCUCAUUGUAAAGUGCCAUGAAUGUGUGGAUCAGAAGAAAUUGCUUGGAAUUUGGAGAGAAUGAAAUGGGUCAGUGCAACUGGUAGAACUGCCACCUCACAAUGUCAGUGAGAAAAUGAGAUGACAUAGAAGUCAUGUGGACAUGUGAUCAAUGGUCAGAUUGGAUUCAGUGGGCCAAAGAUCUGUUUCCAUGCUGUGUCUCUAAACUAAACGGGUGCUUAAUGGACUCCACGGAUUUGGCUUGUCUACGUGUAGAAUAUAUAUAGUGCAACUGUAAAACGGAGAAGAAUUUUCAGUGCAUUGCCAAAUUUGAAUAUGGUGUUUAGUGGUUGAUCAUGUUCUCUGCAUCUCUCUUGCAUCUCUCGUGGAGUUGGUGUGCUGCGAAGAUCAUGUCCGAUGUGUCUCUAUAUUAUUGACACCCACAUGCAAUUCAUGCUUCAGUUUCCCAGGAGAAGGCAGCUUAGGAGAAUUCUUAUGACGACUUCCCCUAUGCCAGGCAGUAAUGAGCGCUCUGCUGUCAUGCAAUUAUAUUUGCCUCCAUUCUCAAAGACGACCACGAUCACUGUGUCCCUGACAUAUCCCUCUCUUC